This 72-nucleotide transfer RNA is filed under the name Camelus bactrianus (Bactrian camel). It matches the Rfam family "tRNA". Rfam says of the family: Transfer RNA (tRNA) molecules are approximately 80 nucleotides in length. Their secondary structure includes four short double-helical elements and three loops (D, anti-codon, and T loops). Further hydrogen bonds mediate the characteristic L-shaped molecular structure. tRNAs have two regions of fundamental functional importance: the anti-codon, which is responsible for specific mRNA codon recognition, and the 3' end, to which the tRNAs corresponding amino acid is attached (by aminoacyl-tRNA synthetases). tRNAs cope with the degeneracy of the genetic code in two manners: having more than one tRNA (with a specific anti-codon) for a particular amino acid; and 'wobble' base-pairing, i.e. permitting non-standard base-pairing at the 3rd anti-codon position. Lineage: Eukaryota; Metazoa; Chordata; Mammalia; Artiodactyla; Camelidae. The record is from Rfam by way of RNAcentral. RNAcentral also lists the same sequence under 2 other names.
GAGGGUAUAGCUCAGUGAUAGAGCGUAUGCUUAGCAUGCAUGAGGUCCUGGGUUCAGUCCUUAGUACCGUCA